This 90-nucleotide transfer RNA is filed under the name Tissierella creatinini. RNAcentral's name for it is "tRNA-Ser". It matches the Rfam family "tRNA". From Rfam's summary of the family: Transfer RNA (tRNA) molecules are approximately 80 nucleotides in length. Their secondary structure includes four short double-helical elements and three loops (D, anti-codon, and T loops). Further hydrogen bonds mediate the characteristic L-shaped molecular structure. tRNAs have two regions of fundamental functional importance: the anti-codon, which is responsible for specific mRNA codon recognition, and the 3' end, to which the tRNAs corresponding amino acid is attached (by aminoacyl-tRNA synthetases). tRNAs cope with the degeneracy of the genetic code in two manners: having more than one tRNA (with a specific anti-codon) for a particular amino acid; and 'wobble' base-pairing, i.e. permitting non-standard base-pairing at the 3rd anti-codon position. RNAcentral also lists the same sequence under 1 other name. Lineage: Bacteria; Bacillati; Bacillota; Tissierellia; Tissierellales; Tissierellaceae. The record is from RNAcentral.
GGAGAGAUGGUUGAGUGGUCGAAGGCGCUCGCCUGGAAAGCGGGUAGACGUGAAAGCGUCUCGAGGGUUCAAAUCCCUCUCUCUCCGCCA